This 364-nucleotide ribosomal RNA is filed under the name uncultured bacterium. RNAcentral describes it as "partial 16S ribosomal RNA". It matches the Rfam family "Bacterial small subunit ribosomal RNA", at positions 282 to 658 of the family's 1533-position model. The record is from RNAcentral.
GGUAGCCGGCCUGAGAGGGCGACCGGCCACACUGGGACUGAGACACGGCCCAGACUCCUACGGGAGGCAGCAGUGGGGAAUAUUGGGCAAUGGANGAAANUCUGACCCAGCGACGCCGCGUGMGGGAUGAAGGCCUUCGGGUUGUAAACCKCUUUCAGCAGGGAAGAAGCGAAAGUGACGGUACNUGCAGAAGAAGCACCGGCUAACUAUGUGCCAGCAGCCGCGGUAAUACAUAGGGUGCAAGCGUUGUCCGGAAUUAUUGGGCGUAAAGAGCUCGUAGGUGGUUNGUNACGUCGGAUGUGAAAAUCURGGGCUCAACCCNAGACCUGCAUYCGAUACGGGCNAGCUWGAGUKUGGUAGGGGA